ACGCUCUUGUGAAGAUACCUGAGGAAUCUUCUCUGGUUUUGUUAGCAAACGUGUUUGUUUGGAAGUCUGCUUUCAAGGGAAAUAGUCUGCAUUGGGAACUUUUGUAUCAGUUCUUUGCUUUGAAAGAGCAAAGUGAGGAGUGACUACAAAUGGCUGAAUUACACAAGAAUUUAUAUCCAGACAUCGGUGUCCUAUGUCAGACUGAAAGUUUGUCCAUCUGGUUUAAAGUUUUACAUAGUUUUCUCUUGCUACUGUGUCUGAGCGUUCAUGCCUGUGGUUCCUACAGUAAUAUUCAUGUUCUGCAGUAUCUUUAUUACUGUGUCACUGGGAGGCGAUAAAUAUAAAUAUAAACAUAGCCUUGUGUGGAGUCACUCUUCAGAGCAGG
Molecule: long non-coding RNA, 385 nt
Organism: Calidris pugnax (ruff)
Lineage: Eukaryota; Metazoa; Chordata; Aves; Charadriiformes; Scolopacidae
Exons: 3
Source: RefSeq, a predicted model, not a curated record